RNAcentral lists this ribosomal RNA (468 nucleotides) under uncultured bacterium. Its description in RNAcentral is "partial 16S ribosomal RNA". It matches the Rfam family "Bacterial small subunit ribosomal RNA", at positions 28 to 507 of the family's 1533-position model. The record is from RNAcentral.
GACGAACGCUGGCGGCGUGCUUAACACAUGCGAGUCGAACGGAAAGGCCCUGCUUUUGUGGGGUGCUCGAGUGGCGAACGGGUGAGUAACACGUGAGUAACCUGCCCUUGACUUUGGGAUAACUUCAGGAAACUGGGGCUAAUACCGGAUAGGAGCUCCUGCUGCAUGGUGGGGGUUGGAAAGUUUCGGCGGUUGGGGAUGGACUCGCGGCUUAUCAGCUUGUUGGUGGGGUAGUGGCUUACCAAGGCUUUGACGGGUAGCCGGCCUGAGAGGGUGACCGGCCACAGUGGGACUGAGGUACGGCCCAGACUCCUACGGGAGGCAGCAGUGGGGAAUAUUGCACAAUGGGCGGAAGCCUGAUGCAGCAACGCCGCGUGCGGGAUGACGGCCUUCGGGUUGUAAACCGCUUUCGCCUGUGACGAAGCGUGAGUGACGGUAAUGGGUAAAGAAGCACCGGCUAACUACGUG